This 301-nucleotide ribosomal RNA is filed under the name uncultured bacterium. RNAcentral describes it as "partial 16S ribosomal RNA". It matches the Rfam family "Bacterial small subunit ribosomal RNA", at positions 509 to 808 of the family's 1533-position model. The record is from RNAcentral.
CAGCGCCACGGUAAUACAGAGGGUGCAAGCGUUAAUCGGAUUUACUGGGCGUAAAGCGUGCGUAGGCGGCUUCUUAAGUCGGAUGUGAAAUCCCCGAGCUUAACUUGGGAAUUGCAUUCGAUACUGGUUAGCUAGAGUGUGGGAGAGGAUGGUAGAAUUCCAGGUGUAGCGGUGAAAUGCGUAGAGAUCUGGAGGAAUACCGAUGGCGAAGGCAGCCAUCUGGCCUAACACUGACGCUGAGGUACGAAAGCAUGGGGAGCAAACAGGAUUAGAUACCCCUGUAGUCCCUGUCUCUUAUACA